Camellia sinensis is the source of this 645-nucleotide non-coding RNA. The record is from RefSeq and is a predicted model, not a curated record. Lineage: Eukaryota; Viridiplantae; Streptophyta; Magnoliopsida; Ericales; Theaceae.
CUUUUAUAUACCAAUGCCCUAGCCCCUUUUACUCUCACGACAUUCACAAACUGUCUCUUGCUCUCUUGCUCGCCAUAGUCGCAGCUCCAGCGGUCUGAAUCUCUGUCUCUCGGUCUCUCACUUUCUUCAUCAUGUUCUGUUUCUCUGAUCUUCAAUUUCAUUUUUCGACUCGAAAUUUGAUUUUCUAAGUUGAAUUUUCUUGAGAAAGAUACAGCCUCUAGGAGACUUGAUCGACGAUGAAACAGAAAAUUGUUGAGUGAAAUUAAGCUAAUUGUGUGAUCGGGCAAAGAGAAAAAAAAUAGAGAGAUGAGAAGCACGAACAACAACGCUCUAGAUAGGAUAAGCGCUGCUGCGACUGAGAUCGCGUCAGCUGGGACUCAAGCUUCGGUUCAGUCAUCCUCAUCAUCUUGAAAUUGAGAAGACAAAGAAGAUGGAGAAGGCAAAGAAGAUGCUGAAAGAAAUAACCAUUGACAUUGACAACCUGAAGCUCAUCUUGUCAUAAUAGCUUGUGGGUCUGCUUUGGAGGAAUUUCACCUGAAGAUGGUGGAGAGGGCUAUGCAACAUACAUCUGCAAUUUCAUCAUCUUCGGUUUCUUGCAGUGAUACUGAUAAGGUUUGUGAUUGAAUUUACCUACCAAAAAAAAAA